Molecule: transfer RNA, 36 nt
Filed under: Bolitoglossa oaxacensis
Lineage: Eukaryota; Metazoa; Chordata; Amphibia; Caudata; Plethodontidae
Description: partial tRNA-Ser
Source: RNAcentral
AAGGGAGUGCAGAGGGGUUAUGCGGCUGACUUGAAA